GCUUUUGCCUACUUCCUCAGCAAAAUUGGGAGAAAGUAAUGCGAUGUUGUCGUCGUGGCCACAUUCGCCAUAUUGUUGUAGAAGGCGGAAAAGUUG
RNAcentral lists this microRNA precursor (96 nucleotides) under Echinococcus granulosus. RNAcentral describes it as "microRNA egr-mir-10258 precursor". The record is from miRBase by way of RNAcentral. Lineage: Eukaryota; Metazoa; Platyhelminthes; Cestoda; Cyclophyllidea; Taeniidae.